Molecule: non-coding RNA, 146 nt
Organism: Glycine soja
Lineage: Eukaryota; Viridiplantae; Streptophyta; Magnoliopsida; Fabales; Fabaceae
Source: Rfam
CUUGAGGGGAAUGCAGUGUGGUCCAAGGAGAUGAUAUAUCACUUCACCAUACUCAUAUCUUCACAAACUCAUCAGAUUCAGAUGUAAUAAUAAUUUGUAAUAUAUGCAUAUUAUGUCUCCUCGGACCAGGCUUCAUUCCCUUCAAU